This 468-nucleotide ribosomal RNA is filed under the name uncultured bacterium. RNAcentral's name for it is "partial 16S ribosomal RNA". It matches the Rfam family "Bacterial small subunit ribosomal RNA", at positions 28 to 507 of the family's 1533-position model. The record is from RNAcentral.
GACGAACGCUGGCGGCGUGCUUAACACAUGCAAGUCGAACGGAAAGGCCCUGCAUUUGUUGGGUGCUCGAGUGGCGAACGGGUGAGUAACACGUGAGUAACCUGCCCUCGACUUUGGGAUAACUUCAGGAAACUGGGGCUAAUACCGGAUAGCAGCUCCUGCUGCAUGGUGGGGGUUGGAUAGUUUCGGCGGUUGGGGAUGGACUCGCGGCUUAUCAGCUUGUUGGUGGGGUAGUGGCUUACCAAGGCUUUGACGGGUAGCCGGCCUGAGAGGGUGACCGGGCACAUUGGGACUGAGAUACGGCCCAGACUCCUACGGGAGACAGCAGUGGGGAAUAUUGCACAAUGGGGGGAAGCCGGAUGCAGCAACGCCGCGUGAGGGAUGACGGCCUUCGGGUUGUAAACCGCUAUCGCAUGUGACGAAGCGUGAGUGACGGUAAUGGGUAAAGAAGCACCGGCUAACUACGUG